UCCACCCUCAUACAGACUCUAUCAGUGUUUCAGCAAUGCCAAGUAAACCCGCACCUAUGAAAAAGCCUCCAGCCAAAAAGGCUGCAGAGAAAGCACCUGAGCCUGCUGCAGAACCUGAACCCGCCCCACCUGCUGAGGCUCCGGCCGAGCCAACGCCUGCUGCAGCUGCCCCGGCCGACGACAGUCCUGCAGCUGAGGGAGCUGCUCCAGCUGCUGCUCCCAUUGCUGAAGACAGUGCUGUGCUACCUGCUGCAGAUGCUCCAACAGAUGCUGCUCCAGCAGAAGCUGUUGCAGUUGAGGAAACCCCUAAAGCCCCAACACCUCCUCCCCCCGCAGUCCCCAGCAGCGCUCCUCUGGAUGUGGCUGUAGACGAUGUGAACGACACCAGCCUCACUAUCAAGUGGAAAACACCAGAGAAUGUCGGUGGCUCCGGCUUGAGUGGAUACACUGUCGAGUACCGCAAGGAUGGAACAACAGACUGGAUUGUAGCUAAUGGGGAGCUGAUCGUGGCUGAGCGCUACUGUAUCAGAAGCCUGGCAACCGGAGACCUGCUGCAUGUCCGCGUAGUGGCUGUAAACUCAGGUGGCCGCAGUGAACCUGGGUUGCUUCCAGAGCCGGUGCCUGUCCGGGAGAUUGGCGACAGACCCAAGAUCCGCUUGCCUCGUUUGCUCAGAUCCCGCUAUGUAGGGAAAGUUGGACAGCAGAUCAACCUGGUCAUCCCGUUUGUUGGGAAGCCCAAACCUGCAGUGUCAUGGCUGAAGGAUGGACAGCCUUUGGACACCAAGAGGGUCAACAUCAGGAACACCAACAGGGACAGCAUCAUGUUCAUCCGCAGUGCUCAGAGGGAGGACUCUGGAGUUUACGAGAUGACACUGAAAGUGGAAAGCCUUGAAGACAAAACAACCAUCACCCUUCAGAUUGUAGACCUCCCCGGUCCACCUGCUAGUGUUAAGCUAGUAGACGCGUGGGGCUUCAAUGCUGCCCUGGAAUGGACUCCUCCAAAGGACAACGGCAACUCAGACAUCACUGGAUACACUCUCCAAAAAGCCGACAAGAAGACCGGGGAAUGGUUCACGGUGCUGGAGCACUACCAUAGAUUAACAGCCACUGUCUCAGACCUCGUCAUGGGUAACUCCUACCUGUUCAGGGUGUUUUCCGAGAACCAAGUGGGGAGGAGUGAGAACGGUGCCGUUACCAAGACCGCAGCAACAAUCCAGAAAACGGGCAUUGUCUAUAAACCUCCUGAGUACCAGGAACAUGACUUCAGUGAGGCACCAAAGUUUACCACGCCCCUCAUCAACCGUGCAACCACUGUGGGAUACACUACCAAGCUGCUGUGUUCUGUUCGAGGAUGCCCCAAGCCCAAGAUCGAGUGGAUGAAAAACCAAAUGAUCAUUGGAAACGACCCCAAGUUUCGUCAGAUUUCCAACCAGGGCAUCUGCUCCCUGGAGAUCCGCAAGGCCUGCAGCUUUGAUGGUGGCGUGUACACCUGCAGAGCCAAGAACGCCCAGGGAGAAGCCAUGGUCUCCUGCAAACUGGAGGUCAAACAGGUUCUUCUUUCGGAGACUGAAAAAUAAAAAAGGGAAAUAAGGAAAAAAAGUAAUUUAAAUGAGCAGCAGAUGCCUGGGUCUUAAGAGUAUUAUAGUAAGUGAGUGAAGAUACUGCAGAUGGCUGUGCAGAAGCACGUACACAACGAAGACGGAGACAGAACAACAUGCCAACGUCCGUAUAUUUAUUUGUACACUAAACAUCAGGACUGUCCCUCAGACAUACGUUACACCUACUCUUACAAUCUCAUUUGGAGAAACCUGUUUUUGACAGAAAUGUAUGCAAAACUAAAUGUAUAGCUUUUUAUCCAAAUCUUGUGGAGAUUUAACAAGCAAUAAAACAAAAACAGUUCAUCAGAUGCAAUAACUCAUGUUAAUAAAAAACGUGUAUUUUACUACAA
RNA transcript from Gambusia affinis (western mosquitofish), 1948 nucleotides. It is a transcript of the gene named myosin binding protein Ha, with no coding region annotated. The transcript has 14 exons. Lineage: Eukaryota; Metazoa; Chordata; Actinopteri; Cyprinodontiformes; Poeciliidae. The record is from RefSeq and is a predicted model, not a curated record.